RNAcentral lists this ribosomal RNA (253 nucleotides) under uncultured bacterium. RNAcentral describes it as "partial 16S ribosomal RNA". It matches the Rfam family "Bacterial small subunit ribosomal RNA", at positions 524 to 776 of the family's 1533-position model. The record is from RNAcentral.
UACGUAGGGACCAAGCGUUGUCCGGAAUCAUUGGGCGUAAAGAGCGUGUAGGCGGCUUGUUAAGUCUUGCGUGAAAUCUCGGGGCUCAACCCCGAGCGGUCGUGAGAAACUGGCAGGCUAGAGUGCGGGAGAGGAGAGUGGAAUUCCUGGUGUAGCGGUGAAAUGCGCAGAUAUCAGGAAGAACACCCGUGGCGAAGGCGGCUCGCUGGGACGUGACUGACGCUGAGACGCGAAAGCGUGGGGAGCAAACAGG